GAUGAACGCUGGCGGCGUGCCUAACACAUGCAAGUCGAGCGAAAGCACAGUAAGCGCUUGCUCUUAUGGCUGGCGACUGGCGGGCGAGUGAGGGGUACAUCGCCUUCUACUUUGUCAUGGGCGAUCACGUGGGAGAUCAUAACCUCAUACCGCAGACGUCCCACGGGAUACAGCAAUGGAUCUUCCAACCUUCCAUGAGAGGAUUAGCCGGUGCCGGAUUUGCUAGUUGGGGGGGUAAAGGCCCAACACGGCGACGAUGCGUAGGGGGUCCGAGAGGAUGGUCGGCCACACUGGAAGUGAGACACGGUCCAGACUCUGACGGGAGGCAGCAGUGGGGAAUCUUGGACAAUGGGGGAAAGCCGGAUACAGCAAUACCGCGUGAGUGAAGAAGGACUUCGGGUUGUAAAGCCCUGUUGUUGGGCAAGAAAAGAAGCCGGUUAAUACGGGGCUGUUCUGACGGUACCUAAAGAAUAAGCAACGGCUAACUACGUG
RNAcentral lists this ribosomal RNA (492 nucleotides) under uncultured bacterium. RNAcentral describes it as "partial 16S ribosomal RNA". It matches the Rfam family "Bacterial small subunit ribosomal RNA", at positions 28 to 507 of the family's 1533-position model. The record is from RNAcentral.